CUAAUAUUAAUUGAGUAUAUAGUUCGCUUAUUAUAUUAUGUAGUUAGUAGGCCAAAAGUUCCCAGAUGUCGUACUAAAUUCGCCAAAAUAUGACAUAAACAGGCAGUACUUUAGGGCCCAUAAUGCAAUUCUUCCGGAAAUGAGCGUGGCUUCACAUCGUUUUCAGAUUUGAAGAAAAUGGAGGAAAAUAUUCAGCCGAAGUCCAACGAGAGCGGGAGAGAGACGUGACUAUCGUGGAUCCUCUGGGGGGCCUCAACAGCCUCGUGAUGCUGACGAGGCAGAGAAGAGUCUCUCCACAUCAAAACACCUCAAGAAACAUCAGCUGAGACUCACAGGAGAGAAUCCAUACUGCUGUUCUGACUGCAGGAAGAGUUUCUUAAGAUCCGAUUCACUAACAAUACACAUGAGAAUUCACACUGGAGAGAAACCUUUUAGCUGUAAUCAAUGUGACAAGAAAUUCUCUGAUUAAACAUCAGAAAAUACAUGGAGUUGUUUCAUGAUAUCAAUGAAAUUAUGUCACAAUGUAGAAUGUUUUAACAUUGUAGUAGGAGUGUUUUAAUGAUGAUCUACCU
Molecule: long non-coding RNA, 572 nt
Organism: Oncorhynchus gorbuscha (pink salmon)
Lineage: Eukaryota; Metazoa; Chordata; Actinopteri; Salmoniformes; Salmonidae
Exons: 2
Source: RefSeq, a predicted model, not a curated record